GAAUCGUUCCAAACAUAAUGGGCUUGGAGUAAUGGAGAACUCCAAGGGCAGGAGGUAACCAUUAAAGAGGACCAUCAUGUAGUGUGAGGAGUCAACAUUUCACACUAGAAAGCCCUUGGUUCAAGUUUUGUCUCUGCCACCUACAGAUUUUGUAACCCUGAGGAAACUAGCUACCUCUUUAUGUACUGCCCUAUGGAGAGGCACACAUGUCAAGAAACUGAGGGAGUGCCUUCCAGUCAACAGCCAGCCAGGAACUAAGGUGCUCAGUACAGCAGCCUCCACAAAGGACUGAACAAUGCCAACAGCUAUUUGACUGUGCUUGGAAGAUCUCCGUUUAGUUAACCCUUCAGAUGAGACCGCAGCCCUGGCCAGCAAACAAAUUGCAGCCUAUGGAAAGACCUUAAGGCAGAAGCACCCAACUGAACCACCCGAGGGCUCUGACUUACAGAAACUGUGAGCAUAUAGUGAAAUGGCCUCUACCUUAUUUUGAAUGGAUUUCUGGGAUAAAGUUCUUCAGUGAUAACAUGUUUGAAGCGGCUAUCUUAUGUGCCCAUGUUACAUGCUCAUGAUAAAGCUGCAUUUCCUGAGGGGACACCAAUGGAUACACCUCUGCCUGGCACGCAGCUUAGAGGCUAAAUGUAUGAAAAGCAACACCAUGCAAAUCAUUUUGAAACUGCUGUGGAACUCUCACGGGACCCUCCAUUCUAGACAUCCAGUCCCACUAGUGAUCUGACCAUGAAACCUACUAAGAGACUUCCAGAAGAAGAUGACCUCUGAAAGGAGAAAACUUUCUUCCAAGCUUCUGUGGAACAAGAAGAUGCCAUCCCUUUGGUGGAGCCCAAAGGGAAACCAGCACAAAUCAGAGCGAACGACGUGAAAAGAGUUCUGUUUCUCCUGGAAGGAUGCCACUUGUUUCUACUCCAGGGGAAAUGUCUUCCAAGCUCUUUACCAAAUCUGCAAGCUGAACCAACUCAACUGUGGCUGCCUUGCCCACCUGAAGACCUCAGGAUCCACCAGCAGCCCAAGACACCUCGGAAGCUGUUUCAAGGACAAGCGUCGCCUGCACACGUCAGCACAAAUGGGAACAUGAUGAGUGAUGCUGCCUGGAGUUAAAGGAGGCCAGGAGCACCAGAAGCUGGAGGAGGCCGGGGUGGAUUCUCGCCUGGAGGCUUCAGUGGGAGCACGAGCUCCCGACACUUCGGUUCCAUCUCUUGUUUAAAGGCACCCAGUUUCUCAUCAUUUGUUACAGCACCAUGGAAAACCCACACACAAGUGAAGCCCCGACCCACCUCCCAAGUGCCCAUCUGAGCACCCCUCGUGGACUCUGAGCAGGGGGUUGCCAUCACCAACUCCAAGUCUUGCAGCCCCUCUUCCCUUCAGUCUGGCUGCCACCUUCUUCAUUGCCCUGGAAAAAAAUAAUGAAGUUUCACCAUUUAAAGGGUUUCAGUGCAGCUUGCUAUGGGAACACUGGAGAGUAACACAAAUGGCCAAUUGUCCUAAUAGCCACCAUGGAUUGGAUGGAUGCUAACAACAGGCUCACAGUUCUCCUUCUGUUGCCUCCUUUUAUCCACAUGAGAAUCAAACAAGACUACUGAUUAAAUGAAGCCUUUGAUGAAGUGCAUGCAGUUUGUAGCUUGAUUCAUGGGAAUACUCAUCACAGACUGAAAGUGUAACCCAGGGUCUCUGGGUUUUUGGGAACGCGCUGUGUAAAAGUAUCUACUUGUAACUGUUACUCCCUGAGUUGUUGUUGUUUUAGAAAGUUCCAAGAAGAAGCUUAGCCUUGGAAAAAACAAAAACUGGUUGAAUCCAGAAGUGGAGAUGAAUUUUGGCCAACGCUCCUCACUGCCACACUAAAAACCCUGCUCAGAGAGGAGCUUAUUCACCAUGUUCUAUUCAUGCAAUGUGUGUGGAAACAUGAUCUACGACAGCAUGCGUGCUGCCUUCACCCUACCUCUACAUACAAUGACUCAUUUAACCUGCUGAAUAAAAGCCCUGUUUUCACCUUUGCUGGGGGAGGUGCCGCUUUGGGAACUAUUCGCAGUGUCCUCUUCACUUUUUGCAAGUAAUAGAAUACCCUUGUUAAAUCCUA
Molecule: long non-coding RNA, 2089 nt
Organism: Homo sapiens (human)
Lineage: Eukaryota; Metazoa; Chordata; Mammalia; Primates; Hominidae
Product: long intergenic non-protein coding RNA 1229
Source: Ensembl